GUGCUUGCUUUGGCAGCACACAUACUACAAUUGGAACAAUAUAGAGAUUAGCAUGGCCCCUGAGCAAGGAUGACACGCAAAUUCGUGAAGCAUUCCAUAUAUAU
Molecule: small nuclear RNA, 104 nt
Organism: Rhinopithecus roxellana (golden snub-nosed monkey)
Lineage: Eukaryota; Metazoa; Chordata; Mammalia; Primates; Cercopithecidae
Source: Ensembl